UGUGUUUUUGUAUGGAAAUUGCCUGCUCCAUUUCUUCUAGAAUAUUGGAGAAAAUAACGGAAAAAAAUAAUCCAUUGUCUCCAAGAAGUUUUGUUCAGCCUCCCGCUUAUAGUUAUCCAUCGUUUUGCAAAGAAGAACGCCAGCAUUCCAAGAUCAAUCCUGAGGAUGUUUGGUUAAUGAGUAACAAGAGCCAAAGUGGGGAUGGAAUGCUUUAUCCUGAAAGCAGUCAUAGAGAGGCUUCAUCUUUUAAAUUUAGUGUUUGAAGACUUCCCAAAUGGACUCAAGCAAAAGUGACUAGUUCCAUUCAUGCCAGCAAGAAUCUUAAUUGCGCUUCAUUAGAGGCAUAUAUACUCAAAUAUUUAUUUUAUUGUUUCUGAGAAACUCUGUUGUAUUUUAAUCCUGAAUCCCCCUACCCACAAUAGUAUUUUGAAGAUUCAGAAGCUAGUUUAUAUCAUAUUGGAAAUUGAAAUAUGGAGAUCGAUCUAUACUUGAGUAGAACUAUAUGUACUGGUCAGCAUGUUCAAGAACAGAUAUAUCUCCAUCAUUGAAGAGUACAAGUUAAUUAUUUUUGGUCUGAAACUUGUGUUUUAGUGGACGUUUCAGUUUCAGAAUGUGCAAGAGAACUAAUUCCUUCUUAUAAUGAAAUUAUGCUAAGCCAGUUGUCCAGGUUCCUUGUCAUUUGCAGGAGAGAAAAUCAAGUCACUGUCAAACCAUGUCUAGUAAUUAAAGUUUCUGGUAUUGGAGUGUUAACAAAAUCUGCAUCUGAUGGUUAUUAUUCUCUUUCUGGAGUAACAAGAUAUUAAGCCCAAAGCCACAAUAGUGUUAGGAUUUUCUAAGUCAACUGUAAUAUCUUUUGCAUUUAUGAUUAUUAGGCAUAUCUCCUUCACCCCCUGAAGUUCAAAUUCCAUCCGAUCAUGCUUCUCCAUUGCCUGAUACUCUGAACUCUCAAGAUUCUUCAAGCUUUGGAGGAACUUGCAGGACGACAUAAGGCUGUGAUUAGUGAGGACAAGAAUUCCUUUGGGCUUAAUAACCUUAGCAAGAACGAAAAGAGUGGUGUUGCUCCAGACCAAUAUGUUGGUUGCAACAAUAAUGAUGCUUCUUGGUGUUCUGAAGAAGUUUCUGAGAGUAAAGCAGAGCAGUUAUAUUUAAGUGAAUCUGGAAGUGUGUCAGAAAUAACUACUGAUGGCAAUUUGAGCAGUCUACCAUCUGAAGAAGACAUGUUUAAGCAACAUUUUGGUAGCUUAUCAAAUACACACAAGGUAAAGUCGAGUAAUUCAUUAGUUAGAAGGUUUUCUGCAGGAUAUAUUGUGCAAUGGGAUUGCAAGAAACUGUUUAGCAGUCCUGUUAGGAAUAAAGGUGCAACUCAUACUGUAUCAGAAGAAUGAUCCUUGCAGGUUAAGGAAACUGAGGAAGUGAGACAUUCUUCUGAAGAGCUAUGUAUGAGGGCAACAUAAAGACUUUAAAACUAUGCCCUUCCUUUUGCAAUCGAACAUGAUGAAAGCACUUUGAAGAAUAUUAGGUUUGGUAGUAAAAAGAAAGUUAUUGUUCUUUCAAUUAUCCCUUAUGGGGUCAUGUUUCAUAUGAACAUAGGCAUUUUAAGUUGCCUAAUAAAUGUACUAACAGAAGCAGUGAUACUUUAAACCUGUUUCCUUAAUAUAUUAUAUGCAUUCUGACUCCUUAA
This is a long non-coding RNA of Glycine soja, 1681 nucleotides long. RefSeq lists it as uncharacterized. The record is from RefSeq and is a predicted model, not a curated record. Lineage: Eukaryota; Viridiplantae; Streptophyta; Magnoliopsida; Fabales; Fabaceae. The transcript has 3 exons.